AUUAAAUUUCUUUUUGUUUUGUACCAGGGAUUGAACCCAGGGCCUUAACCACUGAGCCACAUCCCCAGCCCUUUUUUAUAUUUUAUUCAGAGGCAGGGUCUUGCUGAGUUACUUAGGGCCUUGCUAUGUAGCUGAGGCUGGCUUUGAACUUACAAUUCUCCUGCCUCAGCCUCCCCAGCCACUGGUAUCACAGGCAUGCGCCAUCACACCUGGCUCAUGUAAAGAACAAAUUUAUAUAGUAGCAUUGAAUAAACAAGUCAAAAUGUUGAGAGAGGUAUGAUGUUAAAGCUAAUGUUAUUACUUUUUAAUAACACUGCAGGUUGGGCAGUCAAACAUUUAUAUAUAAAAUAUGAACGAACAGUUGUCAAUUCCUAUUUACUGUAAGAGUGAUUCCUCUGUGAAGUAAUCACCAUACAGUUGUCAACACAUGGUAGUUCUUAGCUCCUACUAUCAUGGAGGAUGUCAAAAAUCACAUUUCAUUCAAGUGAGAAUACCUUAUCAGACAAUAGGAAAAAAGGGGGGAGAGAGAGACCUGCGACCCAAAGUCUAUCUACGUUUCCAGAGAUGACACUUUCACAUAAAGAGUCUCAAAUUUGAUUCUGCAAUUUAUAUUUGGGGUAAAAAUGGGAGUUCAUAACCCACUUGAAUCAAAUGUAUGAAAGAUGAUAUGUCAUGAGCUUUGUAAUGUUUUGAACAACCAAUUAAAAAAAAAAGAGUCUCAAAUACGAUUCUGCUUCUCACCACCCCUCAUGGCAAAUGGAAUAUCAAGGAGCCAUUCCACGAUUUCAUCUUGCUGUUGAAUCUUUCACCCAAGACUUCCUACAAAAUAAGUCAGUUCAGGGCCCAGGUAUUACUAGAGGUAUAACAAACAUUAAAAUUUAUUAAUCAUGUUCAUCCAAAUGUUUUGGCCACUGUAAAAUAAGCCCUCAGUGAAAUAUGAACUUUAUUGAUGUUGUCAUUGUUCAAGAUAAAUUUAGGUUGUGACAUGCUCCUUUGAAUAAUUCUGCCCCACCUCACCCCCACCAUGAAGGGAAGUCUUCAUCUUUGAGCAUUUGGUUUUGGAAAGAGCCAGAAGUAAUACAGAGCUGCACCCUCUGUGUGAAUGAGGUGGGUGAGCAUAAAUAGGAAGAACAAGCACUGGGUAAGCUAAUUCUCCAGCUGAAUGAGAACACAGAGCUC
RNAcentral lists this long non-coding RNA (1179 nucleotides) under Marmota monax (woodchuck). Lineage: Eukaryota; Metazoa; Chordata; Mammalia; Rodentia; Sciuridae. The record is from RNAcentral.